This is a long non-coding RNA of Arachis duranensis, 372 nucleotides long. RefSeq lists it as uncharacterized. The record is from RefSeq and is a predicted model, not a curated record. Lineage: Eukaryota; Viridiplantae; Streptophyta; Magnoliopsida; Fabales; Fabaceae. The transcript is spliced from 2 exons.
CGAUGUCAUUUUUCUAGGUGGCGACAUUUCGAGGAAAAAGAAGUUACUUAAGAAACAGGCUGAAGGAAAGAAAAGGAUGAAGUCCAUUGGUAAAGUUGAUGUGCCUCAAGAAGCUUUCAUGGCGGUCUUGAAAUUGGAAAAGGAGGUGAUAUGAUCACGUAUACAUGUAACGUAAGUUGCAGCAUUAUCUGAAAUUUGUAAAUAUAAAGUGGAAAUUCAAAACCUCGAUGUAUUACUGCUUUGGUAUAACGGUCCAAGUAUUGUCCUUCAAUGAUUUUAAGCUGCAUACAGUGCAAGAUUUUGUGAUUUUGACUCGGUUCCCUUAAGGGAGGAAAAAAAGAAAAAAGUUGAAGCAUAGCACAAUUAUUCUGU